This 501-nucleotide ribosomal RNA is filed under the name uncultured bacterium. RNAcentral describes it as "bacterial SSU rRNA". It matches the Rfam family "Bacterial small subunit ribosomal RNA", at positions 28 to 527 of the family's 1533-position model. The record is from RNAcentral.
GAUGAACGCUAGCGGCAGGCCUAACACAUGCAAGUCGAGGGGUAGAGGUUCUUCGGAGCCUUGAGACCGGCGCACGGGUGCGUAACGCGUAUGCAAUCUACCUUGUACAGGGGGAUAGCCCAGAGAAAUUUGGAUUAAUACCCCAUGGUGUAUUAUAGUGGCAUCAUUUAAAUACUAAAGUUCCAACGGUACAAGAUGAGCAUGCGUCCCAUUAGUUAGUUGGUAAGGUAACGGCUUACCAAGACGAUGAUGGGUAGGGGUCCUGAGAGGGAGAUCCCCCACACUGGUACUGAGACACGGACCAGACUCCUACGGGAGGCAGCAGUGAGGAAUAUUGGUCAAUGGGCGAGAGCCUGAACCAGCCAUGCCGCGUGCAGGAAGACGGUCCUAUGGAUUGUAAACUGCUUUUAUACAGGAAGAAACACUCCCUCGUGAGGGAACUUGACGGUACUGUAGGAAUAAGGAUCGGCUAACUCCGUGCCAGCAGCCGCGGUAAAUGCG